This 441-nucleotide long non-coding RNA is filed under the name Medicago truncatula (barrel medic). RNAcentral describes it as "lncRNA gene40426". The record is from RNAcentral. Lineage: Eukaryota; Viridiplantae; Streptophyta; Magnoliopsida; Fabales; Fabaceae.
UCCAAAUCAAGUAAUACUAAUUUCGAAGCUAAAAUUGGCUUGAUCUCAAUAUCAAUAUGGAUGUGCUUUUCAUGUAUGACAAUUGCUUUUCUGACUUCAAUACUUCCUAAAAACACAAGUAAAAUACUAAAAUACCCCCAGCGGUAGUUAACUGCCGCUGGGUUGUUUGGUCAUUUACUUGUGUUUCUAAGAUACAUUGAAUGUCAGAACAGCAAUUGUUUUCAUGUAUAUGUAAUAAACAGUGAAAAGCCUCAAACGACCAACUGAAAGCAAUGCUAUAUUUCGAAUUUGAUUUAAUCUAAACUAGAAUUGUGACAUAAAUGAGGGGGGAAACAACUGUACUGCAAAAAACUGUACUAAGCUCACUUCCAUUUGAGGGACUGCCUAAUGCCUGUAUAAAUGAGUCCUAAAGACCUGCCAAUCAAGCUAACCAAAAAGAAU